UCCGUAGGUGGAUAAUUAAGUCAGAGGUGAAAUCCUGCAGCUCAACUGUAGAAUUGCCUUUGAUACUGGUUAUCUUGAGUCAUUAUGAAGUGGUUAGAAUGUGUAGUGUAGCGGUGAAAUGCAUAGAUAUUACACAGAAUACCGAUUGCGAAGGCAGAUCACUAAUAAUGUACUGACACUGAGGGACGAAAGCGUGGGGAGCGAACAGGAGUAGAUACCCUGGUAGUCC
Molecule: ribosomal RNA, 229 nt
Filed under: uncultured bacterium
Lineage: Bacteria
Description: partial 16S ribosomal RNA
Rfam family: Bacterial small subunit ribosomal RNA
Source: RNAcentral